UACGUAGGGCGCAAGCGUUGUCCGGAAUCAUUGGGCGUAAAGAGCGUGUAGGCGGCCCGGUAAGUCCGCUGUGAAAGUCCAGGGCUCAACCCUGGGAUGCCGGUGGAUACUGUCGGGCUCGAGUCCGGAAGAGGAGUGUGGAAUUCCUGGUGUAGCGGUGAAAUGCGCAGAUAUCAGGAGGAACACCAAUGGCGAAGGCAGCACUCUGGGACGUGACUGACGCUGAGGAGCGAAAGCGUGGGGAGCAAACAGG
RNAcentral lists this ribosomal RNA (253 nucleotides) under uncultured bacterium. RNAcentral's name for it is "partial 16S ribosomal RNA". It matches the Rfam family "Bacterial small subunit ribosomal RNA", at positions 524 to 776 of the family's 1533-position model. The record is from RNAcentral.